AACAAAGAGAGGAAUAGUCAGGUUGGAUAGAACCUGUAAUUUUAUUUUUUUCCUAACAAGAAAGAACAAUAAAAAUCACGAGAACAACCCCGCCUAACUGAUCCAAGUGGUACGACUGGAACACGAAAAGGUUGUAGUCAAGUCUUCAGGAUAUAAGGUUUUAACACAAUAGAAAAUAACCAGCAUAUAUAAUUUCCUAUGCGAGAUUAACUUCAAUACUUCAUCCACAUUUGUAGGAAGGACUACGCUAGUACCAAUAUUAUCAUGAAGAGCAUGAAUAAAAGAGGUUAUAGAGUCCACCGUUUGGUCCGUGCCAUCAACAGCUGAGGGUGUAGACUCAUAAAAUAACAAAUACCCGAUGAUAGGCAUUGCCAGUCCAGUGCUAUGAACAUGCUGCCAUGUCCGGGAUUCAGAUAAUAAUAGAAUACCGACCAAAUGAAAAUUGUAAGCAUACAGAUUUCAUGUAUUCUUUAUUUGCAUUUUAUGUCUGCUCAUAAUUUAUUCUCAGUUUUACGUAUUAGAAGUCAUGCCACAAUAGAAAAUUUUCUAAUUUAAUUAUGAAUAUGUUAAUAAAUUACAUUCAUGAAGACUGAAAAUCAAGAAAUGAGAUUAAGAUAACAUCAGCAUGUACAGUAAAGGGUGAAAACGAAGUGGUGCAAUCUGUGAUCCCGCCGGUGCCUUCGGCUCUUGUUCCAAUUGUGUUCCGGGCUAGCUCGUCACAAACCCUAAUCCCUCCCUCUCCAAUUGUGUGUCAGCUCUCUUUGCAAAGGAGAGGAGGUCUGUGCUGAUCCGUUCGAUCCCAUAAUUCCCUUCUCCGGUGAAGAUAGCGGGAGUGUGUUGCUCCAGGGAGGACGAUGAGUCUGAUGCAGGAAAGCGUGCAAAGCAUAGCUUGGCAGUCGUCCCGUUUCAGCUUGAACCCGAAGAUUUAGGGUUCGUGGUGGGAACAAAUGGUGCCCCAGGCAUCCUAAAAAAGUCACCAAAGAAGAGAGGCCGCCCACACGGCAGCAGGAACAAGAAGAAGAUUUAGGACACGACCUCGGAAGCAUUUGGUUCAGGUAUGGUCGAGCAAGAAGAGUCUUCGGAGGCAAGGGAGGAGUAGUGUUGUUCUGUACGUAACAAGGACAAAGACCUCUACAUGACUUACUCAGAGAUUCCCCUACUCAUUAGCGAAAGGUACACCGUUGGGUCUUAGGUUUCGAGUUGAUGUUUAGGUCUCUGAGUUUAUUUUGUGUAGGUUCAUUGCUUUUUAGUUUUGCUGUAUUCGUCUACUUUUUUGGACAGCUUUAUGGUUUUCCCUUUUAGACUUUUAGUAUUAGUUGUUGUAGAAUAAAGAGUGUACACUCUUAAUCUUGUAUGAGAGUUUACUUCUGCCUCACCUAGUAAUAUUUGGUCGUAUGGCUUAUUGUCAAUGAAGUUAUUCAUUCCAAAAACAAAAAACAAAAAAACAAAAUAACUUAUGCAACUAAUCCUUAAAACUUUUAUUGGUAACCAACAUAUCUGAUACUUUAUUUUUUU
RNAcentral lists this long non-coding RNA (1515 nucleotides) under Fragaria vesca (wild strawberry). RNAcentral's name for it is "long non-coding RNA (FVES_LNC000254)". The record is from RNAcentral. Lineage: Eukaryota; Viridiplantae; Streptophyta; Magnoliopsida; Rosales; Rosaceae.